UACGGAGGAUCCAAGCGUUAUCCGGAUUUAUUGGGUUUAAAGGGUGCGUAGGUGGCCUGUUAAGUCAGGGGUGAAAGACGGUAGCUCAACUAUCGCAGUGCCCUUGAUACUGAUGGGCUUGAAUAAACUAGAGGUAGGCGGAAUGUGACAAGUAGCGGUGGAAUGCAUAGAUAUGUCACAGAACACCAAUUGCGAAGGCAGCUUACUAUGGUUUUAUUGACACUGAGGCACGAAAGCGUGGGGAUCAAACAGG
RNAcentral lists this ribosomal RNA (253 nucleotides) under uncultured bacterium. Its description in RNAcentral is "partial 16S ribosomal RNA". It matches the Rfam family "Bacterial small subunit ribosomal RNA", at positions 524 to 776 of the family's 1533-position model. The record is from RNAcentral.